This 694-nucleotide long non-coding RNA is filed under the name Gallus gallus (chicken). RNAcentral's name for it is "long non-coding RNA NONGGAT001310". Lineage: Eukaryota; Metazoa; Chordata; Aves; Galliformes; Phasianidae. The record is from RNAcentral.
CGGGCGAGGGCUGCGCGGCCGCGGCGGGGCGAGCGGCGGAGAAAUGUUUUCACAUGCAAGUUACGUACCUAUUGGCUGCAUGCUUCUGACCAGAUUGUCACUGCAAGGCUGAUGGCUCCUGACAAAAUGGAUGCGGAGUGGGAGACACCAACUGGAAACUUCUGCUUGACAGGUGCCAGGACAGUUGGUGGUAUUCAGGCCAUGAGCUUCCCAUUUAGUAAUGCACAGGAUUACCACCAACGUGCAAAUGCAGUUGUUUUUGUUGGAACAGCUUUAGCUUGCUUGAUGCCUGUCUCUUGCUGUUCAGUGACUGGGCCCCUCAUGUGUGCAGUCAGUGCUGGAGCUUCUUUCCUGCAUCAGAACUCCCAGGCCAGCACUGCUAUGCCAUAUUAAAUCACAUCUUCUUGCAUGAAAAAGGAUGUAAAAUGGAAUACAAAUCCAAAAUGGAGAUUCUUAUCAGAGUAAAAAGAGAGGAACAAAAUAAAACCACAGUACUAAAGCAGAGAUUCCCAAACUUAUUGUACUGGAGUUUCGUCACUGGUACGGAUGGGGAGGGACUGUUGGUGCCAGUGGUGUUAAUUUUUCUAUCUUAUCUUCCUCAACCUGUGACACAUUCCUGAGGGCAGAACUCAGCUCUGUCCUUUCUGCCUCACUUAAUAGUUUAUCAGCCCUACUUCAUUCCAUCCUGUUCUUG